Molecule: non-coding RNA, 31 nt
Filed under: Mus musculus (house mouse)
Lineage: Eukaryota; Metazoa; Chordata; Mammalia; Rodentia; Muridae
Source: RNAcentral
UGACAAAAAAGUUUAUUUAGCAGAGGCUUAA